Anas platyrhynchos (mallard) is the source of this 197-nucleotide non-coding RNA. The record is from RefSeq and is a predicted model, not a curated record. NCBI's taxonomy places the organism in Eukaryota, Metazoa, Chordata, Aves, Anseriformes, Anatidae.
CGGACUGCUCGGGGUUAGGCUGGGCAUCGGUCAGCGAGUGAGGAGAACAGGUCUGGAAUUUUCUGCAUUGUCUGAAGGCACUACAUAAAGAGGAAAUACUUGUUUCCACAUGAUGUGUAAUCAACUCCUUGCUGAAAAACGGCGUUGUGCCCGAGAGAAUCACAGAAUUUCUAGGUUGGAAGAGACCUCAAGAUCAU